UACGGGGGGGGCUAGCGUUGUUCGGAAUUACUGGGCGUAAAGGGCGCGUAGGCGGUCUGCUAAGUUGGAUGUGAAAACUCUGGGCUUAACCCAGAGCCUGCAUUCAAUACUGACAGGCUAGAGUUCUGGAGGGGAUAGCGGAAUUCCGGGUGGAGUGGUGAAAUGCGUAGAGAUCCGGAGGAACACCAGAGGCGAAGGCGGCCUACUGGGCUGCACCUGACGCUGAGCCGCGAAAGCCAGGGGAGCGAACGGG
This 253-nucleotide ribosomal RNA is filed under the name uncultured bacterium. RNAcentral's name for it is "partial 16S ribosomal RNA". It matches the Rfam family "Bacterial small subunit ribosomal RNA", at positions 524 to 776 of the family's 1533-position model. The record is from RNAcentral.